UGGGGGAUAUUGCACAAUGGGGGAAACCCUGAUGCAGCGACGCCGCGUGAGUGAAGAAGCAUUUCGGUGUGUAAAGCUCUAUCAGCAGGGAAGAAGAAUGACGGUACCUGACUAAGAAGCCCCGGCUAACUACGUGCCAGCAGCCGCGGUAAUACGUAGGGGGCAAGCGUUAUCCGGAUUUACUGGGUGUAAAGGGAGCGUAGACGGCGGUGCAAGUCCGAUGUGAAAACCCAGGGCUCAACCCUGGGAUUGCAUUGGAAACUGUAUAGCUGGAGUGCAGGAGAGGUAAGCGGAAUUCCUGGUGUAGCGGUGAAAUGCGUAGAUAUCAGGAGGAACACCAGUGGCGAAGGCGGCUUACUGGACUGUAACUGACGUUGAGGCUCGAAAGCGUGGGGAGCAAACAGG
Molecule: ribosomal RNA, 405 nt
Filed under: uncultured bacterium
Lineage: Bacteria
Description: bacterial SSU rRNA
Rfam family: Bacterial small subunit ribosomal RNA
Source: RNAcentral